GACGAACGCUGGCGGCGUGCUUAACACAUGCAAGUCGAACGGUGAAGCGCUUGCCUCUUUGGUGGGCGUGGAUGAGUGGCGAACGGGUGAGUAACACGUGAGUAACCUGCCCUCUUCUUCUGGAUAACCUCAUGAAAGUGGGGCUAAUACGGGGUAUUCCGUGUCUGUCGCAUGGCGGGUUUGGGAAAGAUUGCGCCUUUGGGUGUGUUCGGUGGGGGAUGGGUUGGCGGCCUAUUAGCUUGUUGGGGGGGGGAUGGCCUACCAAGGCGUUGACGGGUGGCCGGACUGGGAGGGUGGACGGCCAGACAGGGAGAGAGGCACGGCCCAGCUACGGGAGGGAGGAGGCGGGAAGAAAGGUUGAAGGACGGGCGCAAGCCGGAGGCAGCGACGCCGGGUGAAGGAGGGAGGCGGUCGGGUUAGGAACCUCUUUGGCCAAGAAAGCAAGCAUGCUAAUGUGUGGGUGGGUUGACGGUAGCUAGAGAAGAAGCGCCGGCUAACUACGUG
RNAcentral lists this ribosomal RNA (504 nucleotides) under uncultured bacterium. RNAcentral's name for it is "partial 16S ribosomal RNA". It matches the Rfam family "Bacterial small subunit ribosomal RNA", at positions 28 to 507 of the family's 1533-position model. The record is from RNAcentral.